AACGUAGAUUCUGAAAGAUUAUUGGUAUAGUUAUGCUUGGUUAAUACUAAAUCUCAAACUAUAAAUGUGUAUUCAACCAAGAAAAUGUUUACUAAAUAAUGCAACGUGUGCAAUAUUCUGCUGAAUAUUCAAUAAAGGAUAGACGACAGACAGGUUCAGUGUAACAAAAAAAAACAGGAAGUGCUUGGUAAAAAUAGUUUAAUUUUGAUACCAGCAGCCUUUGGAAGACUCGUGAAAUGUGUAAUAUAUGUACAGACAAAUUUUUUGACCAAUGGCCAGCAACUGUAAAUGCAAAAACGUGUCAUUUUAUAAUUGAUGAACAUCUACUCGAUUAUCCAGAUGUCAAUACCUGAAAAACUUAGGACCAAUCAAUGCAGUUGUGUUUUUU
Long non-coding RNA from Aethina tumida (small hive beetle), 388 nucleotides. RefSeq lists it as uncharacterized. Lineage: Eukaryota; Metazoa; Arthropoda; Insecta; Coleoptera; Nitidulidae. The record is from RefSeq and is a predicted model, not a curated record. The transcript has 2 exons.